RNAcentral lists this transfer RNA (77 nucleotides) under Kluyvera georgiana ATCC 51603. RNAcentral's name for it is "tRNA-Thr". The stretch from base 9 to 66 matches the Rfam family "tRNA", at positions 8 to 63 of the family's 71-position model. From Rfam's summary of the family: Transfer RNA (tRNA) molecules are approximately 80 nucleotides in length. The record is from RNAcentral. Lineage: Bacteria; Pseudomonadati; Pseudomonadota; Gammaproteobacteria; Enterobacterales; Enterobacteriaceae.
GGCCGAUAUAGCUCAGUUGGUAGAGCAGCGCAUUCGUAAUGCGAAGGUCGUAGGUUCAAACCCAACAGGGGCCACCA